AAUAGAUACCCGGGUAGUCCACGCCGUAAACGAUGGAUGCUAGCUGUUAUGAGUAUCGACCCUUGUAGUAGCGAAGCUAACGCGUUAAGCAUCCCGCCUGUGGAGUACGAGCGCAAGCUUAAAACAUAAAGGAAUUGACGGGGACCCGCACAAGCGGUGGAGCGUGUUGUUUAAUUCGAUGAUAAGCGAAGAACCUUACCAAGGCUUGACAUCCCUGGAAGGUCUCCGAAAGGAGACUGUGCCUUCGGGAAUCAGGUGACAGGUGAUGCAUGGCCGUCGUCAGCUCGUGUCGUGAGAUGUUUGGUUAAGUCCAUCAACGAGCGCAACCCUUAUAAAUAGUUGAAUUUUUCUAUUUAGACUGCCUCGGUAACGGGGAGGAAGGAGGGGAUGACGUCAGGUCAGUAUUUCCCUUAUGCCUUGGGCUACAAACACGCUACAAUGGCCGGUACAAAGGGCAGCCAACCCGCGAGGGGGAGCAAAUCCCAUCAAAACCGGUCCCAGUUCGGAUAGCAGGCUGAAACUCGCCUGCUUGAAGUCGGAAUCGCU
RNAcentral lists this ribosomal RNA (546 nucleotides) under uncultured bacterium. Its description in RNAcentral is "bacterial SSU rRNA". It matches the Rfam family "Bacterial small subunit ribosomal RNA", at positions 777 to 1336 of the family's 1533-position model. The record is from RNAcentral.